AGACGAGGAGAGGCGCGGAUUUGUCCGACAAAAUGCUCGAGGCGCGUUGCAGCACCUGCUUUUUCUGCGGGGAAACGUCGAUGCGGGAGGGCCCACGAAGCUUUAGAAUAAGGACCUGCAAAGUUAAGCAGAGCGCUUAAUCCACUCCUGGGGUGCUUUCGCGGCUGCGGGAUUAGUUGGAGGGAGCGAGAAUAAAGUAUUUUCAGAUUCUCUCACAACACGCCAGUUUAGUGGAGGAGUUGUUCUAGCGUAAGCGUUCAUUCCUGAGUGUUUGUAACUCUCAUAGACAGAGCAUUUUCCUUCACCAACACCUCUUCCCUCGUCGUCUGCAAGGCUGUUACAGAAGACACAAAAUCUGCUCUACAGGAUGGAGUCGGGGCGACUAAAUGGAGCUGAGCAUUACUGGCCAGAUGCCCUUCCUGACACCUAUACGGAGUUCACAGCAGAUAUUUUCUCUUUGUGCCCUAUUAGAGAAAUAUUUCCCACUGUCUAGAAUUGAACCCUCAACCUUCCGAAUGGGAGGUGCGCAUCUUUACCUCACUGUUAAAUUGAUGUUUGAAUUAGAACAAUUCUUGGCUUUAAUUCAAAAUCCUAAAAAUAUAUUUUCAAUUUUUUAUUAUGUUCUGGAGAAUGUGGGGAUCUAUAAACUUUUUAAUGUCAUUUUAGUUGGUCCUUAUAAAAAUAUUACCUAACUCUGGAAUUGGGAACUUUUAUCAUGAAAAAUAUUCCAUUUUAUGUUUCUUGGGAAA
Long non-coding RNA from Crotalus tigris (Tiger rattlesnake), 749 nucleotides. RefSeq lists it as uncharacterized. The transcript is spliced from 2 exons. The record is from RefSeq and is a predicted model, not a curated record. Lineage: Eukaryota; Metazoa; Chordata; Lepidosauria; Squamata; Viperidae.